RNAcentral lists this ribosomal RNA (586 nucleotides) under uncultured bacterium. RNAcentral describes it as "bacterial SSU rRNA". It matches the Rfam family "Bacterial small subunit ribosomal RNA", at positions 338 to 917 of the family's 1533-position model. The record is from RNAcentral.
CCUACGGGAGGCAGCAGUGGGGAAUUUUGGACAAUGGGCGAAAGCCUGAUCCAGCAAUGCCGCGUGAGUGAAGAAGGCCUUCGGGUUGUAAAGCUCUUUUGUCAGGGAAGAAACGGUGAGGGCUAAUAUCCCUUGCUAAUGACGGUACCUGAAGAAUAAGCACCGGCUAACUACGUGCCAGCAGCCGCGGUAAUACGUAGGGUGCAAGCGUUAAUCGGAAUUACUGGGCGUAAAGCGUGCGCAGGCGGUUUUGUAAGUCUGUCGUGAAAUCCCCGGGCUCAACCUGGGAAUUGCGAUGGAGACUGCAAGGCUAGAAUCUGGCAGAGGGGGGUAGAAUUCCACGUGUAGCAGUGAAAUGCGUAGAGAUGUGGAGGAACACCGAUGGCGAAGGCAGCCCCCUGGGUCAAGAUUGACGCUCAUGCACGAAAGCGUGGGGAGCAAACAGGAUUAGAUACCCUGGUAGUCCACGCCCUAAACGAUGUCUACUAGUUGUCGGGUUUUAAUUAACUUGGUAACGCAGCUAACGCGUGAAGUAGACCGCCUGGGGAGUACGGUCGCAAGNUUAAAACUCAAAGGAAUUGACCGG